This 3026-nucleotide ribosomal RNA is filed under the name Desulfobacterales bacterium. RNAcentral's name for it is "23S ribosomal RNA". It matches the Rfam family "Bacterial large subunit ribosomal RNA". The record is from RNAcentral. Lineage: Bacteria; Pseudomonadati; Thermodesulfobacteriota; Desulfobacteria; Desulfobacterales.
GGCUAAGUUAAUAAGGGCAAACGGUGGAUGCCUAGGCACCGAGAGGCGAAGAAAGACGUGGGAAGCUGCGAAAAGCUUCGGGGAGCUGCUAAACAAGCGUCGAUCCGGAGAUGUCUGAAUGGGGAAACCCGUCAUAGGUAAUGCUAUGACACUUACAAAUGAAAAGAUAGUUUGUAAGGGCGAACGAGGCGAACUGAAACAUCUUAGUAGCCUUAGGAAGAGAAAACAAGAGUGAUUAUCUGAGUAGCGGCGAGCGAAAGGGUAGAAGCCUAAACUAUAUGUAUGUUAAAGUCUGACAAUGUUGUACAUAUGGGGUCGAGGGAUAUACUGAGUUAUAAUGUCAGUUAUAACGAGGAGUUAAAAAAUAUGUAGAUAUUCGAAGUGCAUGGGAAGGCACAUCAGAGAAGGUGAUAAUCCUGUAGGAGGAAUUUACAUAUCUUCUUAAGUAUAAGCCCGAGUACUUUGGGACACGAGGAAUCCUGAGGGAAUUAGUGAGGACCAUCUCAUAAGGCUAAAUAUUACUUGGUGACCGAUAGUGAACUAGUACCGUGAGGGAAAGGUGAAAAGUACUCCAAUGCGGAGAGUGAAAAGUACCUGAAACCGUUUGCUUACAAGCAGUGGGAGGGAAUAGGUAUAGCGAUAGAGCUAUACGGGCCUGACCGCGUGCCUUUUGCAUAAUGAGUCAGCGAGUUAUUCUACGCAGCGAGGUUAAGCUGUUAAGUGAAGCCGAAGCGAAAGCGAGUCUGAAUAGGGCGUAAUAGUUGUGUGGAAUAGACCCGAAACCAAGUGAUCUAUCCAUGGCCAGAGUGAAGCGCGAGUAAAAUUGCGUGGAGGCUCGAACUGGUGUAGGUUGAAAACUGCUCGGAUGAGCUGUGGAUAGGGGUGAAAGGCUAAACAAACUUGGAGAUAGCUGGUUCUCCCCGAAAUAUAUUUAGGUAUAGCCUUAUAUGAUUUUUUACGGGGGUAGAGCACUGGAUGGGCUAGGGGUCUUAACGGAUUACCAAACCUAACCAAACUUCGAAUACCGUAAAGAGAGUAUAGGAGUCAGACUACGGGAGCUAAGUUUCGUGGUCGAGAGGGAAAUAGCCCAGACCGUCGGCUAAGGUCCCGGAAUGUACACUAAGUGGUAAAGGAAGUGGAAACGCAGAGACAACCAGGAGGUUGGCUUAGAAGCAGCCAUUCUUUAAAGAAAGCGUAAUAGCUCACUGGUCGAGUGAGUCUGCGCCGAAAAUGUAGCGGGGCUAAGUGUACUACCGAAGCUGCGGGGCUGCGAGAGCAGUUGGUAGGGGAGCAUUGAAUAUUGGUAGAAGUGCGACCGAUAAGGGAGUGUGGACGAUAUUCAAGAGAACAUGCUGACAUGAGUAGCGAUAAAGCGAGUGAAAAACUUGCUCGCCGGAAGCCUAAGGUUUCCUGAGUAAAGUUAAUCUUCUCAGGGUUAGUCGAUCCCUAAGCCGAGGCCGCGAGGCGUAGGUGAUGGAAAACAGGCAAAUAAUCCUGUACCGACUUUAUAUUGUAGUAGCUGCGAGGUUACGAGAGAGAGAGGGGUGACGCAGGAGGGUAGAUCAUCCACCGGCUGGAAGAGGUGGUUUAAGCUAGUAGGCGCUAUGUAUAGGCAAAUCCGUAUAUAGAUACGCCGAGAAGUGAUGAGGAGAGGGCAACCUCGUAAACUGAUUGAUCCCACGCUGCCAAGAAAAACCUCUAUUGAGAUAUAAGGUCGAUCGUACCGCAAACCGACACAGGUAGGCAGGGAGAGAAUCCCGAGGCGCUUGAGAGAACCCUGGUUAAGGAACUCGGCAAAAUGACACCGUAACUUCGGGAGAAGGUGUGCCCUUGGUAAGUAAACUAUUAGACAUAGGGAGCUGAAAGGGGUCGCAGAGAAACGGCGGUAGCGACUGUUUACUAAAAACACAGGACUCUGCAAAAUUGUAAGAUGAGGUAUAGGGUCUGACGCCUGCCCGGUGCCGGAAGGUUAAGGGGAGAUGUUAGGGUGACCGAAGCAUUGAACCGAAGCCCCGGUAAACGGCGGCCGUAACUAUAACGGUCCUAAGGUAGCGAAAUUCCUUGUCGGGUAAGUUCCGACCUGCACGAAUGGCGUAACGACUUCCGCGCUGUCUCAACCAGGGACUCAGCGAAAUUGAAAUGGUGGUGAAGAUGCCAUCUACCCGCGAAAAGACGGAAAGACCCCGGCACCUUUACUAUAGCUUGACAUUGGAUUUUGGGAUAUGAUGUGUAGGAUAGGUGGGAGACGGAGAAGCGACUACGCUAGUAGUUGUGGAGUCAACGUUGAAAUACCACCCUUUAUAUUUUAGGAUUCUAAUUUUAGUACGUGAACCGUACGAAAGACAGUGUCUGGUGGGUAGUUUGACUGGGGCGGUCGCCUCCCAAAGAGUAACGGAGGCGCGCGAAGGUUCCCUCAGACUGAUUGGAAACCAGUCGAUGAGUGUAAAGGCAUAAGGGAGCUUGACUGCGAGAGAGACAUUUCGAGCAGGUACGAAAGUAGGUCUUAGUGAUCCGGCGGUUCUGUAUGGAAGGGCCGUCGCUCAACGGAUAAAAGGUACGCCGGGGAUAACAGGCUUAUCGCCCCCAAGAGUUCACAUCGACGGGGCGGUUUGGCACCUCGAUGUCGGCUCAUCACAUCCUGGGGCUGAAGCAGGUCCCAAGGGUUCGGCUGUUCGCCGAUUAAAGUGGUACGUGAGCUGGGUUUAAAACGUCGUGAGACAGUUUGGUCCCUAUCUUUCGUGGGCGCAGGAUAUUUGAGGAGGUCUGUUUCUAGUACGAGAGGACCGGAAUGGACGAACCGAUGGUGAUCCAGUUGUAACGCCAGUUGCAUAGCUGGGUAGCUAAGUUCGGCAAGGAUAACCGCUGAAAGCAUCUAAGCGGGAAACCAUCUUCGAGAUAAGAUAUCCCUUUGUUCGGAGACGAACAGACACAAGGCCCCUUGUAGACUACGAGGUAGAUAGGCCGGGAGUGUAAGCGUAGUAAUAUGUUGAGCUAACCGGUACUAAUAGGCCGAGCGGCUUAGCCAC